GGGGCGUAUCAGUUUGGAAUCUUGGCAUGGUUGAUAAGAAAUUUCCAAAGGAACUUGCAACAUAGAAGGAUCGCUUAUAUUUUGCUCAAGCAAAAAAAAAAACAAAGGCUCAGUUGUUCAAAUGAGAGGAUCAGUAUCAAUGGCUUCCAAUAUCUGCUUGAGGAUGUGGAUUGGUUACAGGAUUCAAGUGUCAUCAGAAACUCAGUAAUUGAUGGUUUUGCCCACAAUUAUAGAAAACUACAGACAGUAAAUCUUAGUAAUCCAACAGCAGCAUUGUCCAUUGAACAUCACUUUCCUCGCUGCUAGUCAUUGAUACUGCAGGCAGGACUACAGGCAAUUGUCCACCAUAUAUCGAAGUAUGUUAAAAUCUCAAGGCCAAAUCAGUCAUCUUGUGUUAAAUCUUCGCCUUCCAAGAAAAUCCUUACCUAAUAUCCUUAUGUCAUUUCAGUGGACCGCAGGAUUUCUCUACUCUUCUCGAGAAAGUCUAGCUGUGUUUCGUUGUCAUCUUCCACGACAACAGGAACUGGUGUCACUCUCCCAAAUUUAAAUGGGCUCC
RNAcentral lists this long non-coding RNA (556 nucleotides) under Phoenix dactylifera (date palm). RNAcentral describes it as "long non-coding RNA (PDAC_LNC004348)". The record is from RNAcentral. Lineage: Eukaryota; Viridiplantae; Streptophyta; Magnoliopsida; Arecales; Arecaceae.